GACGAACGCUGGCGGCGUGCUUAACACAUGCAAGUCGAACGCUGAAGCUUGGUGCUUGCACUGGGUGGAUGAGUGGCGAACGGGUGAGUAAUAAGUGAGUAACCUGCUCUUGACUCUGGGAUAAGCCUGGGAAACUGGGUCUAAUACUGGAUACGACAUGUCACCGCAUGGUGGUGUGUGGAAAGGGUUUUAGUGGUUUUGGAUGGGCUCACGGCCUAUCAGCUUGUUGGUGGGGUAAUGGCUCACCAAGGCGACGACGGGUAGCCGGCCUGAGAGGGUGACCGGCCACACUGGGACUGAGACACGGCCCAGACUCCUACGGGAGGCAGCAGUGGGGAAUAUUGCACAAUGGGCGGAAGCCUGAUGCAGCGACGCCGCGUGAGGGAUGACGGCCUUCGGGUUGUAAACCUCUUUCAGCACGGAAGAAGCGAAAGUGACGGUACGUGCAGAAGAAGCGCCGGCUAACUACGUG
RNAcentral lists this ribosomal RNA (472 nucleotides) under uncultured bacterium. RNAcentral describes it as "partial 16S ribosomal RNA". It matches the Rfam family "Bacterial small subunit ribosomal RNA", at positions 28 to 507 of the family's 1533-position model. The record is from RNAcentral.